RNAcentral lists this long non-coding RNA (869 nucleotides) under Drosophila guanche. The record is from RNAcentral. Lineage: Eukaryota; Metazoa; Arthropoda; Insecta; Diptera; Drosophilidae.
CUCUUCUGUAUCGUGUGGCACACGCAUAUUGUGCCAUGUACAAACUUUUCACAUCCGUGCCAUGUAUCCUGGAUCCAGCACCCAGCACGACAGGGACAAGCCAGGGCCCAGGGCCGGGGCCAGUCUUUUGCGCAGUUUCGAAUGCCCACAAAACAAUGGAGAAAGGAAAGUCGUGGAAAAAAAAAACGUUCUAUCGCUGAAAUUUUCACCAUUUCACUUGAGUUUUUCACGGAUUAAGCCACUUCCUGGGCCAUUUUCGUGCACACUUCUUGUACGAUGCGACCUUUUCGAUUUUUGGCAUAUUUAUUUAUUUAUUUUAUUGUUCAUUUUACCGUUCGAUUAGCAAUAAUUUAUUAACCGGUUUUUCUCGUGACGUUUUCGCCUUUUUACAAUCGGAACGGAACGACGGGCACCAACCAUCGUAGAAAUAUUCAAAAGGAUGGUUUCGGUUGUUUUCCACCCUCUCUCUUACUCUCUCUCUCUCUUUUUGCUCUCUCUUGGGUACAUGGGAGCGCAGGGUAUAAUAUCAUUGGUGAGGGACCGCUAAGAAAGGAAUAAUGAUAAUCAGGCCAUAGUUAUAUCGUUUCAUUAGACGGAUAUUUAUUUCCUCCUUAAAGCAUACAUCAUUGACCGGAAUCUUUAUUUUUGGUAACUCAAACUAGUGGAUGCACCCCAUAAUACAUUCUACCUUGCAGCCAAUCGCCUCUCUUUUGUGCAUGUGUGCGAGCGUGAGUUUUUGUCACGACCUUCUCUCUCUUUCUAUUCUCUCUCGGCCCUGCCUUCGUCCUUCGUGUGUAGUUUUCAAUUACAACUGCUGCCCCGAAAGGGCAAAAAAGGCGCGCCCCCGCCCGCCGACCAACGAAAUACAC